This 262-nucleotide ribosomal RNA is filed under the name uncultured bacterium. Its description in RNAcentral is "partial 16S ribosomal RNA". It matches the Rfam family "Bacterial small subunit ribosomal RNA", at positions 1238 to 1500 of the family's 1533-position model. The record is from RNAcentral.
AACAGAGAGAAGCAAUACCGCGAGGUGGAGCAAAACUUCAAAAAUGGUCUCAGUUCGGACUGUAGGCUGCAACUCGCCUACACGAAGUUGGAAUUGCUAGUAAUCGUGGAUCAGCAUGCCACGGUGAAUACGUUCCCGGGUCUUGUACACACCGCCCGUCACACCAUGGGAGCUGGUAACACCCGAAGUCAGUAGUCUAACCGCAAGGAGGACGCUGCCGAAGGUGGGAUUAGCGACUGGGGUGAAGUCGUAACAAGGUACC